Molecule: ribosomal RNA, 497 nt
Filed under: uncultured bacterium
Lineage: Bacteria
Description: partial 16S ribosomal RNA
Rfam family: Bacterial small subunit ribosomal RNA
Source: RNAcentral
GAUGAACGCUGGCGGCGUGCCUAAUACAUGCAAGUCGAGCGAACAGAUGAGGAGCUUGCUCCUCUGACGUUAGCGGCGGACGGGUGAGUAACACGUGGAUAACCUACCUAUAAGACUGGGAUAACUUCGGGAAACCGGAGCUAAUACCGGAUAAUAUAUUGAACCGCAUGGUUCAAUAGUGAAAGACGGUUUUGCUGUCACUUAUAGAUGGAUCCGCGCCGCAUUAGCUAGUUGGUAAGGUAACGGCUUACCAAGGCAACGAUGCGUAGCCGACCUGAGAGGGUGAUCGGCCACACUGGAACUGAGACACGGUCCAGACUCCUACGGGAGGCAGCAGUAGGGAAUCUUCCGCAAUGUGCGAAAGCCUGACGGAGCAACGCCGCGUGAGUGAUGAAGGUCUUCGGAUCGUAAAACUCUGUUAUUAGGGAAGAACAAAUGUGUAAGUAACUAUGCACGUCUUGACGGUACCUAAUCAGAAAGCCACGGCUAACUACGUG